Molecule: ribosomal RNA, 412 nt
Filed under: uncultured Rhizophagus
Lineage: Eukaryota; Fungi; Glomeromycota; Glomeromycetes; Glomerales; Glomeraceae
Description: partial 28S ribosomal RNA
Source: RNAcentral
GAGAGUUAAAUAGUACGUGAAAUUGUUGAAAGGGAAACGAUUGAAGCCAGUCGUACCUAUGGGUAAUCAGCCUUUUGGGUGUGAUUUUGUGGAGUGUGAAGAGUUAAACGCCUUCAUGCCUGCAAAUUCGUGCACUUUGGGUGUACUUGCCCGUAUGGUUGGUUAACAUCAAUUUUGGUGGUCAUAAAAUGACUGGAGGAAUGUAGCUUCGAUCUCGUAUUGAAGUGUUAUAGCCUUCGGUAGAUGUGAUGAUCGAGAUUGAGGAUUGCAACGGAUACCCUUCGGGGCUACCUGUCUGAUCUCUGAUCGUUGCUCUGGUGCCGAAAGCUUGCUUACGGUUAUCAAAGUCGAUGGUCAAUAGGUUAGAACGGGUUAAAUUCGUUAAGGAUGUUGACGUAAUGGCUUUAAACGA